This 700-nucleotide ribosomal RNA is filed under the name Pseudomonas putida. Its description in RNAcentral is "bacterial SSU rRNA". It matches the Rfam family "Bacterial small subunit ribosomal RNA", at positions 59 to 754 of the family's 1533-position model. The record is from RNAcentral. Lineage: Bacteria; Pseudomonadati; Pseudomonadota; Gammaproteobacteria; Pseudomonadales; Pseudomonadaceae.
UAGUCUAGCGGAUGACGGGAGCUUGCUCCUUGAUUCAGCGGCGGACGGGUGAGUAAUGCCUAGGAAUCUGCCUGGUAGUGGGGGACAACGUUUCGAAAGGAACGCUAAUACCGCAUACGUCCUACGGGAGAAAGCAGGGGACCUUCGGGCCUUGCGCUAUCAGAUGAGCCUAGGUCGGAUUAGCUAGUUGGUGGGGUAAUGGCUCACCAAGGCGACGAUCCGUAACUGGUCUGAGAGGAUGAUCAGUCACACUGGAACUGAGACACGGUCCAGACUCCUACGGGAGGCAGCAGUGGGGAAUAUUGGACAAUGGGCGAAAGCCUGAUCCAGCCAUGCCGCGUGUGUGAAGAAGGUCUUCGGAUUGUAAAGCACUUUAAGUUGGGAGGAAGGGCAGUAAGCUAAUACCUUGCUGUUUUGACGUUACCGACAGAAUAAGCACCGGCUAACUCUGUGCCAGCAGCCGCGGUAAUACAGAGGGUGCAAGCGUUAAUCGGAAUUACUGGGCGUAAAGCGCGCGUAGGUGGUUUGUUAAGUUGGAUGUGAAAGCCCCGGGCUCAACCUGGGAACUGCAUCCAAAACUGGCAAGCUAGAGUACGGUAGAGGGUGGUGGAAUUUCCUGUGUAGCGGUGAAAUGCGUAGAUAUAGGAAGGAACACCAGUGGCGAAAGCGACCACCUGGACUGAUACUGACACUGAGGUGC